RNAcentral lists this long non-coding RNA (3479 nucleotides) under Heterocephalus glaber (naked mole-rat). RNAcentral's name for it is "lncRNA (ENSHGLG00100036762.1)". The record is from RNAcentral. Lineage: Eukaryota; Metazoa; Chordata; Mammalia; Rodentia; Bathyergidae.
ACUACUGAUGAGUAAACUUGCUUUCUCCUCCUCUCUCAGCCCCUUGAAUUUCCUACUAGACGUUUUGGCCAAGCCCAAUACAGUCUUGUUUUAAAAUCUUGUCCUCCCCUCAUAGCUUUUCAUUCAGGAUCUCUCUUUAGAGUCAACUCUGAUUCCCACAAAAGACUCCAGAACACUGAUUUGUCUCUGGGUUUUAAAACACCACACAUGAAAAUGUAGUAAGCCCUUAAAACAUGAGUUUUAAAAAGUAACUAACUAGUAAAAGCUUCCAAGGAUUCAAAAAAAUAUGAAGAAUGAAAGCUGCAGCAUAUCAAACCCAGUUUAGCAGCUGAAACAUCUGCAGAUAGUUCCUCCUAAGGAAGUGGGCUGCAGAAGGCUUAAUACUCAGACCUCUUGCAGUAAGUAUACCUGUUUAAGAAGCAGCACUUUCAGGUCUACUGAGAAAUAGGGUGUCAACAGUGGGAAAUGGAGCUGCAGUGUGCAAAGAGAUCACCUUACCUGAAUCCUAGAGCUCUGCUCUCUGCUCCUACUAAAACCAGGUAAUGGAUUGACUUCGCUGUGAUUCCCUAAGCUACACUGGGGAGGGGACUUAGUGCACAAGCAGGUGGUUGGCCUGAAGUGGUGGAGGCUUUUUCUCCUCCUCCCCCAGUACUGACUAGAAUUUCUGGCUGCAUAAACGUAGAUAAAUGUCACCCUCCCCCCCCCCGCCCCCCAUCAGUCUCUGUCACAUCUGAGCCCAUCAUGAACUUUGUUUCCUUACAUUCUUGUCUCUUGGAAGAAGUCACCUGAUUUGAGAUGCAGUGCUAUUGAGUGAAUGACCUGGCAGCACUGUCCUUGGCCCCCUGCAAUCCAGUACAGCAGCUGAACACACAAGGCUUUACUUUACACCAUGGGUCACAGGGCCAGAAAAGCAGACACUGAUGUCAAAGCAAAUCGCCCGCAUUCACCAGGAGCACAGUUCAUUUUUUUUUACCAUUUUUAAAGUCUUGUGGUAUACUUGUAAACACCAUUAUUGUAGAAAAAUGUACUACUAUGACUGUGCAGGUUUGUGAGAAAAGAUGAAACUUGAUCUUGUACCACUUAGGAACCAUAUUUUAAUCCUUUUUGUUUUCCAUAUUUAGUGGGUAUAAAGAGGCACAUAAAUCAGUUUGCGUGGGCAUUUAAAAAAUCAUUCUUUGUAUUUAUUUGAUCCUGUUAUAAAAUGUAUUUAUAAUUUAAGCGCCUGCCCUGUAACAUUUUGUAAUAAUUCUUAGCCAAUCUGGAAUUACAGACUUGAGAUUAAGAUGAAAACUGUAGACCCCAACAAUUCAAACCAACAAACAAAAACAUACAUAUAGGUUCAGCAUCCCUCAUCAGGAAGUCUGAAAUGCUUCAAAAUCUGAAACUUUCGAGCUCUGACAUGAUGCCCCAAGUGGAAAAAUCCCACACCUGAUGUCAGGUGACAAAUUGCAGUCAGAACACACAAACUAUUGGCUGUGUGUGUAAGAAACCUAGAUAAUUUCAUGUUUAGGCUUGGGAUUAAUCCCCAAGAUAUCUCAUUAUCUAUAUAGCAGAUAUUCAGAAAUCUGAAAAACCCUGAAACUUCUAGUCUCGGUGCAUUUUAGAUAAGGGAUACUUAACCUGUGUUCACAGAAACAUUUACAGAACCCAGUUUCUGAGGGUACAAAGGGGUAGUUUGUAGUAUUUGGAAUAGGAAGUACUUCAUUUCAUUAAGUCAGACACCUGAAGAGAUAAGUUCUCUAAACUGCUGAGUCCCCUGAAGGGCCUGGGUACAAAUGAGUCAGAAACAAGUAGACCUUUGCCUUGAGAGUGUAUGGGGACCAGUCUCUUUGUUAAACAUUACUCUUUUUUCAUCAGGGUGUGGGGCAGCAUGGAAAUGGUUAGUGGUAAUACAUUUUUUCAGUGUUUGUAUGUUAUAUUUUAUUGAUUUAAUCAGGAGAGAAAAUUGGAAUUAUUUUCUAAAGGCUUCCAGAAGUACUUUUGAUUUGUCAGGAAGAAUGCUCAUUCUGUGAGAAUGUAUCCCAUACUACAAAAUAAUUAUAUGUGUAUAUCUCCCCCAUGUAGCUGUUUCCUUGAUAUUUGUAAUUUUAAAUUUCAGCUUCACAAUAUAAAAUAAUAUAAGGACUUUUCUGGUUUACAAAAUGUAAAAUUUUAUCCAAACCAAUGGAAUCAUUGAUUUCCUACCUCAGUGUACACUCAACUGUUAGUCAUCAGUUUGUGUGCAAAUGUCAAGUAAUUUUUUGCUUUAAUUGAAACUGUAAAUAUUUGCUUUGAAAAGUUUCUAUUUUAUGCUAAAACCUAGUUGUCUCCACAGUUUAAAUAUAAUUUUUAAAGCACCUAUUUUGUAUUUCUCUCUACCUGUAAACAGUUUAGCAUUAAGGGUUGUUUUAAUGGUAUGUGAUAAUUGGCCACAUGUACUAUUUCUUAAAAUUUAGCAUUAUUUUUAAUAGCCAGUGUGUAAUACAAGCAUAACUACACUACCUCAUACCUACAUGAUUUUCAACUUGUAAUAUAGAUGGACAAAAAAGAUUUUAUCUUUGUCUUUUGGCCAUAAGGUGGGGAAGUUUUCUAUAUAUUGCAUAGCAUUACACAUUUAUGCCUAUUUUAACAUUAACUUCUAAAGUUUUUUCUAAGAUAAUUUGUUUCAAGGCAAUAUUUUUUGUUUUUGAGGCUGCCAGAAGACAAAUGAGAGGAUUAUGUGUAUACAGUGUAUGCCUUUUCCUUCAUGCAGAAUUUGGAAUUGUUUUCAGUUUGUAUAUUGCCUUUGUACAUGAUCAUUGUUCCUUGUUUUAUGAACUGGCCUCUCAGUGCUUGAUCAAGAUUUUUAAAAAGGUGUUAUGUAAAAUAACAUUACCAUAAAAUUUUCUCCUUAUUUGAAUAGUAUAGCUAUAGAAAUUUAUUAAAUUGUUAUAUUUAAAACAAAUGUGAAUAUAAUAAUGGUUCUCCAUCUGUAAGUUUUGUAAUAAUUUACUAUAGCUUAAUGCUUAACCAGUUUUAAAUGAGGAAUUAAAUGUAGUUGAUGCAAUAGAUGAUACAGAUUGCAUGUGGACACUCAGCCACAUUAACAGUUUGGAAAAAAGAAAAGGCAAAUGUUAUAAUGAAUUCUCAGGUGAACUUUUUUCAGUUAUGGAACAUCUAUUUUGAAUUUGUAAAUAUUUUAAGUGUUUUAUUAAGGCAUGUAAUAAUCUUAUUUGAAACCUGUUGGGUAGAAUAAAAAUUUAAAGCCGUAAUGGUAAAAGAUGGCAUACUGAUUGUAAAAUAAACAGCGUUAUUGAUUUUUUUUGUAUCUUUCAUAAUAUAAUUUUCUAACAAUACAAUAAAACCACUAAACUUGUAUAUCCAUGUCUUAUUAGAACCAUGUUUCAUUAAAAGUACACUUUUAUGGUAUUUAAUUUACAUGUUCUUCCUAAUGUGCUUACUAUAAAUACUAGAUGUUAAUAAAUUGACAAUAAAAUUCUCUAAAAUUGUUUCUAAUUGAA